Molecule: ribosomal RNA, 514 nt
Filed under: Pseudoalteromonas sp. PA6.3(2010)
Lineage: Bacteria; Pseudomonadati; Pseudomonadota; Gammaproteobacteria; Alteromonadales; Pseudoalteromonadaceae
Description: bacterial SSU rRNA
Rfam family: Bacterial small subunit ribosomal RNA
Source: RNAcentral
UGGCUCAGAUUGAACGCUGGCGGCAGGCCUAACACAUGCAAGUCGAGCGGUAACAUUUCUAGCUUGCUAGAAGAUGACGAGCGGCGGACGGGUGAGUAAUGCUUGGGAACAUGCCUUGAGGUGGGGGACAACCAUUGGAAACGAUGGCUAAUACCGCAUAAUGUCUACGGACCAAAGGGGGCUUCGGCUCUCGCCUUUAGAUUGGCCCAAGUGGGAUUAGCUAGUUGGUGAGGUAAAGGCUCACCAAGGCGACGAUCCCUAGCUGGUUUGAGAGGAUGAUCAGCCACACUGGAACUGAGACACGGUCCAGACUCCUACGGGAGGCAGCAGUGGGGAAUAUUGCACAAUGGGCGCAAGCCUGAUGCAGCCAUGCCGCGUGUGUGAAGAAGGCCUUCGGGUUGUAAAGCACUUUCAGUCAGGAGGAAAGGUUAGUAGUUAAUACCUGCUAGCUGUGACGUUACUGACAGAAGAAGCACCGGCUAACUCCGUGCCAGCAGCCGCGGUAAUACGGAGG